GCCUUUCUAGUACAAUGCUAGUACGAGUGACUUCCAAUCACCUGGCCUUGGUUGAACUCCAAGGAAAGACA
Molecule: transfer RNA, 71 nt
Filed under: Priacanthus macracanthus (red bigeye)
Lineage: Eukaryota; Metazoa; Chordata; Actinopteri; Priacanthiformes; Priacanthidae
Also listed under: 1 other name
Description: tRNA-Gly
Rfam family: tRNA
About the family: Transfer RNA (tRNA) molecules are approximately 80 nucleotides in length. Their secondary structure includes four short double-helical elements and three loops (D, anti-codon, and T loops).
Source: RNAcentral